AAACAUCGUGCGUCAGGUCUGUGCGAGCUAGCAGCGGCCAAAGGGCAGCUCGCCGCAUCAUAUUCGAUUUCGUGUUGUUGCACAAUAUUCACCGUAUCUCGCGAACUAGAAGCCAAAGCUUUGCCAGUUGUCAGUUGAUUCUCGUUGCGUUACAAGGAAAUUUUUAGCGCGAUCUACCACGUUAAAAAUCUUUUAUAAAAGAAUAUUUCGAAGCUCCCUCCCCAGUGAGUUUCAAGAACCAACCACCCGGUGGAGCGUUAAGCGCCACGAUUUCCAUCUCGUCUGUGUCGUUUUUUCGUGCCAACAAUAACGUUAUUGGCACAGUAUUAUACCAUUCGUUGCCUGUUAUUUAAAACAGUAAAAUGAAUGUUCACGAUCGACUUGAAGAUUACGUUAGUGAAUUCGUUCGAACUCGUUUCGAUUUAAAUUUCAAUCGUUAGAAUUUCGCUAAAUUGUCCUUGAAUUUUUUUAUAUAGUUAUGAUCAAUAAAAUAGCACGGGCAAGAUCAAAUAAAAUUUUGUCCGUUUUGUUUAUCGACGGGAAUAAUAGAUAAUGUGAUGAUAGUGUUGUUGUUCUUGUUGUUGUUGUUGUUGUUGUUGUUGUUGUUCACAGUGUUAAUGAUGACGUAAAAAUGAUGAAUUGUGUGAAACGCGAUAAAGACACGUCGCUAGUCAAUAUCAUCUCUCAAUUUUAGCACGAGAUUGCAGCACGAGGUUGACCACGAAAGUAGAAACCGUGUUGCGUGGUUUUGGCCAAGGCAAUCAUCGGUUUCCUCGUGUUCCAUCGGCUUGCAUUUCGAUGCAGUAUUUUUUCUUUUUUUUUUCUCUAAUAGCUAACGAGGUUACGAUGUCAAAGUAUAAAAGAAACGCGUUUACUUAAAUUGUUUUUUUUUUUUUUUUGUUUUCUAAUUAUGACGACGAACUUUUUUACCGUUUUAUACGAAAGCUUUUCAUUUAAUUUACUAUAUUAUUACUAUGUAUAGUUAGCCAAGAAGCCUUAAAUAAACAAUAAAGAUCUCGAUAUGCAUGAAAAUGUACGAUUAUUAUUAUUCAUAGUCAAUGGUUAUUUUCAGUUUUCUCGUUGGAAUUUUCUUAUCUAUACCCGUUAAAUAUCGCAUAAUGGUGUUUCGGUGAACAACACGAAUUGGCACGAAAAACCAAGUAUAGUUUAUUAUAAUCACGAGUUUUCGUAUUUUGAUGAACGUCAUCGGUUAUUUUCGUAUUACGUUGGAAACGAUUACGUUAAAUUAGAAUGUAACAUGUGCUUUACAAAUGAAACAUUUUUUGUUUCAAAAAACACGUAAUUAUAUUUCUUCGUUGCUUAACAUCUUAAUCAAAAUGAUAAUUUAUCUUACCAAUUGGUAUUUCAAUACCAAUGCAGGAUAAAUUUCCAUUCACUACGAUAUGAAUUUCGAUUAUCGAUUUAUUUACUUCGAAUUUGAUUUCCUCAUAUCCACUGGAAUUUAUUCUUUGGAUUAAUUCUUUCUAGAAAUAAAAUAAAUAUAUUUGAGAAACAAUGAUUUAUUAAUUGAUUAAUCCUAAUUAAUUUCAAAUUAAUGCAAUCUCAAGAUAAAAUUUUAAGUUGUGCUGAUCUUAAAAUAAUUUCUAGUUGUGCCCUUGAGAUGCGCCACAGCCCCGGUCACUUUGAUGAAAAACUGUCCAUUUAUACAAAAUGAACAAUUUUGACUCGAAAAACAAAAUACAUUAUAUUCAUUGAAGGAAAUCAUAUCAAUAAUAAUUAGUAAGGUUUGAAAACUCAUUUACAAUUCUAUCAUUAUAACAAAAAAAAUUCAUGAAUCAUGCAAUGAGCAAAUUAUUUUAAUCGAGCUUAAAGUUGAUCUGGAGUGUCCUACAAACCCCGCAAAUACAACUAGAGUUGAUACAAUUUACAAACUUACAUCGGGGGUAAAAUCCGCAUCGUCGUUAUAGUUAUCGAUUAUUACUGGAUUAAAAAACCUCUCUCGAUAAUUAGAUGUUUCAUUGUUCUUCAUGUCGUCGCAAUGGAGGUCAAGCUUUGCUCAUUUCACUUAAUCUUAGAAAAUUUUCUACAAUUUUAAAAAGGAAAUAUUAAAAAA
Vespa velutina is the source of this 2074-nucleotide long non-coding RNA. RefSeq lists it as uncharacterized. The record is from RefSeq and is a predicted model, not a curated record. Lineage: Eukaryota; Metazoa; Arthropoda; Insecta; Hymenoptera; Vespidae. The transcript is spliced from 3 exons.